CGAUGCAACGCGAAAACCUUACUACCCUUGACAUGUCCGGAAUCCUGCAGAGAUGCGGGAGUGCCCGAAAGGGAAUCGGAACACAGGUGCUGCAUGGCUGUCGUCAGCUCGUGUCGUGAGAUGUUGGGUUAAGUCCCGCAACGAGCGCAACCCUUAUCAUUAGUUGCUACGCAAGGGCACUCUAAUGAGACUGCCGGUGACAAACCGGAGGAAGGUGGGGAUGACGUCAAGUCCUCAUGGCCCUUAUGGGUAGGGCUUCACACGUCAUACAAUGGUCGGUACAGAGGGUUGCCAAGCCGCGAGGUGGAGCCAAUCCCAGAAAGCCGAUCGUAGUCCGGAUUGUUCUCUGCAACUCGAGAGCAUGAAGUCGGAAUCGCUAGUAAUCGCGGAUCAGCAUGUCGCGGUGAAUACGUUCCCGGGUCUU
Molecule: ribosomal RNA, 424 nt
Filed under: uncultured Thiobacillus sp.
Lineage: Bacteria; Pseudomonadati; Pseudomonadota; Betaproteobacteria; Nitrosomonadales; Thiobacillaceae
Description: bacterial SSU rRNA
Rfam family: Bacterial small subunit ribosomal RNA
Source: RNAcentral